UCGAGAAUCUUCGGCAAUGAGCGCAAGCUUGACCGAGCGACGCCGCGUGCGGGAUGAAGGCCUUCGGGUUGUAAACCGCUUUGGUCCGAAAGAAAGGGUAAAACUUGAUCGAUCGGAGAAACAAGGACGGGCUAAGUUCGUGCCAGCAGCCGCGGUAAGACGAACCGUCCAAACGUUAUUCGGAAUCACUGGGCUUAAAGGGCGCGUAGGCGGCCGAGCGGGUCGUGGGUGAAAUCCCCCAGCUUAACUGGGGAACUGCUUACGAUACCACUGCGGCUCGAGGAAGGAAGGGGCAAUUGGAACUGUCGGUGGAGCGGUGAAAUGCGUUGAUAUCGACAGGAACGCCUGUGGCGAAAGCGAAUUGCUGGUCCUUUUCUGACGCUGAGGCGCGAAAGCCAGGGGAGCAAACGGG
RNAcentral lists this ribosomal RNA (412 nucleotides) under uncultured bacterium. RNAcentral's name for it is "bacterial SSU rRNA". It matches the Rfam family "Bacterial small subunit ribosomal RNA", at positions 355 to 776 of the family's 1533-position model. The record is from RNAcentral.